Macadamia integrifolia is the source of this 480-nucleotide long non-coding RNA. RefSeq lists it as uncharacterized. NCBI's taxonomy places the organism in Eukaryota, Viridiplantae, Streptophyta, Magnoliopsida, Proteales, Proteaceae. The record is from RefSeq and is a predicted model, not a curated record. The transcript has 2 exons.
UUUUGGUUAGUACUCUUGAAAGUGAGAUCUAUGGAAAAUCUUUUGGGAAUCCACAAUGACUUAUUUUGGAAAGUUGAAAUUAAGGCCUCCUUCCCAUAAAUCUCUCGUUCGGUCAUCUUUAGAUUUUUCAGAUUUUUCUUGACGAGGAAUGACUACAUCCAAACCCAAGAUUGCAUCCAUUUGUCUACUAGCCUUCCUUCUCUCCUUCAUUCUCAUAGGGAUUGUGGCUGAAAAUGAUGGAUGUGUGGGAGACUGCAAGAGCCUCCAUGAGUGUAUGAAGAAAUGUGAUGCAUGGGGUUAUGAUGCAAGUCUUGCUGAAUGCUUUCCUAGAUGGGAAGCACCCAUUGGUGAUUGCUGUUGUAAGAAAACCUAUUUCUGAUUCUUGCUUGUUAAGAAACCUCACCCAUGGGAAAAUUUUGAGAUGGAAGAUUGUCUCAUGUGUAACAGAAAUAUUAUACAAUGAAGAGUUUGUUUAGAUUC